AUUUUUAUGUCCAUGGCAUUUGCAGUCCCAUUGCCCUUAUUGCCAUUUUUGCCAUUUCCCUCUUCUCAGAUACUGUUAUGGAGUUUGGCAAAUGUAGUUGAGCUGUGUAGUAAACAACUUCUCUCACAGUAGCAUUGAGAUCAAUCCAUCGUCUUGCAUCACAUAAGCCUGAACUCAUAAAAAUAAAGAACCCUGAUAAGUGAUGAGAAGAUAGUUGCUUAUCAUUUAUCAAUGAAUAUUAAAUCACCACAAAAUAUAGGACAGUUGAAUUAGGUUCAAUUUUUUUUUAUGUGAACGUCACAAAUUAUUUCAUAAAAACCAGAGAAAUGAAGGAUUUGAGGGAUUUGGUUCAUUAGUAUGAAUAAGUUUCGAGCUCAAUGUAAAAACUUUGUUUUGAUAGUAUUAAGUGGUGCUUUAGGGUUAAUAGAGACAAAAUUUUAAAAAGCAAGCCAUAUCAAGUAACCAUCUCCAAAUAGGACAAUGCAUUAUCCACAGAACAUCCUCAAAACAGAUAGAAACCUAUCAAAGGAAAUUAAAUUCCUCGUGCACAAGAGUUAGUCCUUUAGAAGUUUGCUUCAAACUUGGAUGAAUGUGAAUCUCCACCCAACCUUCUAGAGAGCAUGUCUCACCAUAUUUAACGAGAAAUCAGCCAAUACUUGUUGAAUUCAUAACUAAUCACCACAGACAGACAGCCGGAGUUUUGAUUUCAUCUAUAAUAUUACGAAUCAAUUGCAAACCCCAGUGUCUUAGCAAUAUCAUCCCUACCUCCGGUCAUCCAGAUUUUCCUUCUCUUAUUAGGUCCCUUCAAAAUUUUCUUAUUUUCUUUUUUUGCUUGACUAGCAAAGCAGCUAGGUUAUAGUUAACAAAAAGAAACAACUUAAUUACCAAUCCACGGGGAUGACUGCUCCAAAGCCUGUCCUCAAAAGUUUUCCUGCCUGCCUAAAAUACUUUGAAUACUCUAGCAUUUCACUCAAAGAUUGCACAAGCCAACUUGCAGUGUGGAUACGAAAAAGAGUACGUAGAUACGCAAUUUCCUCCCACAUACAUCUACGUCACCCCCGAGAACCUCAAAUCCAACAGCACAGCAAGAACCGCACUGUCCUGUCAUCCUAAAAUUUCCAGGCCACAAAUCGCCACAAAACUACAAUACGCGUGCACACGAGUGAACUAGCAACAAUUUCCACCAAAGUUGCAAUGGCGAAAGCACAACAACGGAAACUAUGAGAUGAUAACUCAGCAAACACCUAAGUGCCAGUGCCGAACACACACACACACACACAGACACGGACUUUAUGCACAAAGACACAAAACACUGACCUGUUAGCGAUCCAAUAAGCUACAAGUACAGCGAAAACAAACAGCCAGACGGAAUUUCUCAUAACAGAGAUUGUAUCGAAAGAAAAGCAGAGACCUUGGAACCAUCUCGGCUCUGACCUAGAGCAAACGAGUCCCGGCGACCCCUGAGCAAGAACCGGGAGUGGGACCGCAACAAAGAAGAGAGGAGAGACAAUACGGCCCCAAGGGAGCGUUCUGUGCCCCAAGGUAGCGUUUUGUGUGCGAUGCAGAUUCCCAUGGCCAUCGCCUCCGCGACUCUGCCGAGCUUACCAGCACAGGGAGCCGUCUUGACAAAAUUUACAAGAGGCUACCGAUAGAAAGAAGAGACGAUGGUGAACAAUAGACUGAUGCUUGCAAGGGGCAGGUGAGAAGCGACGAGAAUUGAGCAGGGCAAGGAGCGACGAGAAUCACGUUGCAAUGAUGAUCAAGCAGCGAUUUGGUUGAAGAGCGGCAAGGGAAAAGAAAGAAGGAAACAUAAGCAUCAACAUGAUAACCUAAACUUAAUUAAUUUAG
RNAcentral lists this long non-coding RNA (1848 nucleotides) under Eucalyptus grandis. RNAcentral's name for it is "long non-coding RNA (EGRA_LNC004257)". The record is from RNAcentral. Lineage: Eukaryota; Viridiplantae; Streptophyta; Magnoliopsida; Myrtales; Myrtaceae.